UUUCUAGGUGAAGAUUUUUUAGGUGAAGCUUUGUAGGUGAAGCUUUUUUAAGUGAAGCUUUUCGGGUGAAGCUUUUUAGGUGAAGCUUUGUGGGUGAAGCUUUUUAGGUGAAGCUUUGUGGGUGAAGCUUUGUGGGUGAAGCUUUUUAGGUGAAGCUUUUCGGGUGAAGCUUUUUGGGUGAAGCUUUUUAGGUGAAGCUUUGGAGGUGAAGCUUUUCGGGUGAAGCUUUUUGGAUGAAGCUGUUUUUUUUUUUUUUUUUUUUUUUUUUUUUUUUUUUUUUUUGGCGCUUGACACGGUCUUCAGUUGCUUGUUUUGUAGUGACUGUGGAAGACGGAUUG
Molecule: long non-coding RNA, 338 nt
Filed under: Malus domestica (apple)
Lineage: Eukaryota; Viridiplantae; Streptophyta; Magnoliopsida; Rosales; Rosaceae
Description: long non-coding RNA (MDOM_LNC015909)
Source: RNAcentral